AGAAAGACUUUAUUUACAUCUAUAACUUUCAUUUAAUGUCACAACUAUUAAUGUAAGUCUCAGUACCAUAAAUAUACAUUAUCCAAAUAUUUCAAGAUAGCUACAUGAUCUACCUUAUUCAGACCAAGGAUAUCUUCAUCCUCUCAAAGGAAAGGAGACUGAAAAUUGGGGACAGGCUCUUAUGAGUUUCCUAACUUCAUGGGAAGCCAAGGCAGGUAAAGCAUCUUAAUAAAGUGCUGUCGACUUAGUGCAAAAAAAAAAAAAAAUACCCCACAGAAAAUGCACAAUUUACAGCCAAUGAUAAUACAUACAAUGGAUUGCUGUUUUUAGAUAAAACUGGGGGGUCUUAAUUCAUGAAAGUUUCAUCUGUAUUAUUCUAAUAUUCUGGAUGUUCACCAGACUGCCUUAAACAGUCAAAGUAAAAGAACUAAUCUUAUUGUGAUCCUGCACUGAGGGAAUAAAUUUAAAUUGGGCAUUGUAGGCAUCAUUUCAGUAAUACAAUUUCAAUUUUAAUUAAUCUAAUUCAUGUUCUUUUCAUAUCAUCUGUCUACAUGAAAUAGGAGAAUUCAGCUGACAAUAAAGUUAAUAAAAGUUUCAAACAUUUUUAAUAGUACAAGGGAACAAAACAUUCAACCUUGAUGAGAAAAACACUUUUAACAGCUAACUGUAGUAGAAAUGUACCUAACCAUCCUCCUGAAAAGCAGCAGAUGUGAUGUGGUUAAGCACAGCCUCUGGAAUCAACCUGCCUGGAAAUGGCUCGGCUCAUUAUUAACUUGUUUAAAAUGGUCAAGUUACACCACCUCUCUUUGCCUUCCUUAGUUAUGGAGAUAGUAGUACCUACCUCACAGGGCUGUUGUGAGGAGUAAAUAACCAAUUCAAAUUAUGUUUCCAGACAUAAACAAAAACUCAAAUUAUGUUUCCAGAACAUAUAGUACAAGAAGCUGCUUCUAGUCCACACUAAUCUCAUUUUAAAGAAAAUUGUAUUUGUGGUAGAACAUUCAACAUAAAACUGUUCUAAGUGAACAGUUCAGUAAUGUUAAGUAUAUUCACACUGUUGUAGAACUAAUCUCCACAACUUUUUCAUUUCGUGAAACCAAAACUAUACCCAUGAAACAACUCUUCCUCAUUCUCCCUACCCCCAGCCCGACAACUGUUCUUCUAUGUCCUGCCUCUACGAAUCUGAGUACUCUACAUACCUCAGUAAGUGGAAUCAUACAGUGUUUAUCUUUUUGUGACUGGCCUAUUUCAAUUAGCACAAGGUCCUCAAGGUUCAUCCAUAAAUGUAGCAUGUGUCAGAAUUUCCUUCCUUUUGAAGUCUGAAAAAUAUUCCAUUGCAUGUACAUACCACAUUUUGCUUAUCCUUUCAUCUCUUGAUGAACACUGGUUUGCUUCCACUUCUGGCUAUUACAAAUAAUGCUGCUAUGAACAAGGAUGGGCAAAUAUCUCCUUGAGCCCCAGCUUUCAAUUAUUUUGGAUAUCCACCCAGAAGUGGAAAUGAUAUAUCAUAUGGUAAUUCUAUUUUCAAUUUUCUGAAGAACCACCAUACUGUUUUCCAUAGCAGCUGUAUCAUUUUCAAUCCCACCAACAGUACACAAAGAUUACAAAUUCUCUACAUCCUUGCCAACACUUAUAGUUUAUUUUCACUAGUAGCCAUCCUAUCAGGUAUGAUGUGGUCUUAUAUUCUAAUUCUGUCCAUAUGUAUAUAUUCCUUGUAAUUAGAACUUCAUUAUUAUCUACUGAUAGUAUAUAAUGAAAAUAGAGAAAAUUUGAAACUAUCAUGUCCUACAAUAUGAGAUAUAUUUACAAGUGUAUCAUGGCUCCUCAACUAGAUUACAAAACCCUUAGGUUUACUCUGAUAGUCCAUUGGUAUAAGAUAAAUAAAAAAACUUCAAGAGUGUACCAAUCACUGAUUAAUAAAUGUCAAUUCCACCUGUAUUCUUUAUAUGCCCUCCCAGAUUAAAGAAGCCAUAAAGCAUUAAGAGCUCUAGCUUUAAGCUUAGACCUCUAAACUGAGACAAAUCUGAGACAGAUUCCAGCUCUGCUACUUAUUAGCUAUAAGACAAUUCAUUUAAGCACUCUAAGUCCAUUUUCUCACCUGUAAACUGGCAAUAAUACAGGUUGCUGUGAGAGUUAAAUAAUAUAUGUAAAGCAAUUAAGCUAGAUCAUAGUAAGUCCUCAAUAACUGUUAUCCAGUAAUAAAAAUAACAAUGAUCGUUAUUAUAUUAAUAAUGAAGUUUAUGACUACUGUGUAUUAUAAUGGAAGAUAGUUACUUAAAAAAAAGAGUGAAAAAAAUUAAUGAUGAGACCUAUUUUGACCAGUUUAAUUUAGAAGUAAAACAUCAAACAGUUCAGACUCAAAUGUUUUUCUCUAACAUAAAAUUCAGGGAGUUUAUUUACAGUAUGUUUUACUUACUGCUCUAUAUACUAACAAUAUUGUAUGAAUAUUGUAAGUGUUAACAAUCUUACUAUUCUCUAUUGACAUUUUGAGAGUGGAUGAGGCCCAGAGUUAUAUAUUAACUAUAAAAUUGAUCAUUUAAAACUUUACUAAGUAAUUUGACAUCUGGCAAAAUAAAAGAUAGACAUAGCCUUUGACCCAUCAAUUCCACUCCUAGGUUUAACCCUGAACAAAUUCUUGCACAUGUGCACAAGGUGACACAUACAUAGACAUUCACAACAAUACUGUUUGUAAUAGCAAAAAAGAUGAAACAACCUCAAAGUCCAUCCACAGGAGAACAGACAAUAAAUUGUGGUAUAAUCAUUCAAGAACACUAUACAGAUUGAAAAUGAAUGAAGUAUAACCAGACAUAUAUAAGAACAUGGAUCAACCUCCAAUAUAAUGUUGAAUAAUGCAAUAAAAUACAUACAGUAUCAUUCCAUUUCUAUAAAGUUGAAAAACAUGGAAAAUUAACUUCUCUAGAGAUACACACAUUUGUAGUAAACUAUAAAGAAAAGCACAUGAAAGAUAAACACUACAAUCAAGAUAGUGGUGGUGGGGAGUAAAUGAUUAGCAUAAGGGAGAGAGAGAUGAACAGCAAGUAGCGCAUGGAGACUAAAGUCUAUUGCCAAUACUCUACUUCUUAAGUGGGGUGGUACAUACAUUAGUGUUCAUUUUAUUAUUCAUUAUACUUUACAUAUUCCACAUGUAACUUCAUAUAAAGUUUCAUAAUA
Manis pentadactyla (Chinese pangolin) is the source of this 3168-nucleotide long non-coding RNA. RefSeq lists it as uncharacterized. The record is from RefSeq and is a predicted model, not a curated record. Lineage: Eukaryota; Metazoa; Chordata; Mammalia; Pholidota; Manidae. The transcript is spliced from 2 exons.